ACCCCUCAACUUGGGAUAGCUCAGUUGGUACAGCAUGAAACUCUUUAUCUUAGGGUUGUGGGUUUGAGCCCCACUUUGGGCA
Non-coding RNA from Podarcis lilfordi (Lilford's wall lizard), 82 nucleotides. NCBI's taxonomy places the organism in Eukaryota, Metazoa, Chordata, Lepidosauria, Squamata, Lacertidae. The record is from the annotation of a GenBank genome assembly.